RNAcentral lists this ribosomal RNA (219 nucleotides) under uncultured bacterium. RNAcentral describes it as "partial 16S ribosomal RNA". It matches the Rfam family "Bacterial small subunit ribosomal RNA", at positions 113 to 334 of the family's 1533-position model. The record is from RNAcentral.
UAGUCUGGGAAACGUGCCUGAUGGAGGGGGGUAACUACUGGAAACGGUAGCUAAUACCGCAUAAUGUCGCAAGACCAAAGUGGGGGACCUUCGGGCCUCAUGCCAUCAGAUGUGCCCAGAUGGGAUUAGCUAGUAGGUGGGGUAAUGGCUCACCUAGGCGACGAUCCCUAGCUGGUCUGAGAGGAUGACCAGCCACACUGGAACUGAGACACGGUCCAG